RNAcentral lists this ribosomal RNA (433 nucleotides) under uncultured bacterium. Its description in RNAcentral is "partial 16S ribosomal RNA". It matches the Rfam family "Bacterial small subunit ribosomal RNA", at positions 29 to 507 of the family's 1533-position model. The record is from RNAcentral.
AACGAACGCUGGCGGCAUGCCUAACACAUGCAAGUCGAACGAGACCUUCGGGUCUAGUGGCGCACGGGUGCGUAACGCGUGGGAACCUGCCCUUAGGUUCGGAAUAACUCCCCGAAAGGGGUGCUAAUACCGGAUAAUGUCUUCGGACCAAAGAUUUAUCGCCUUUGGAUGGGCCCGCGUUGGAUUAGCUAGUUGGUAGGGUAAAAGCCUACCAAGGCGACGAUCCAUAGCUGGUCUGAGAGGAUGAUCAGCCACACUGGGACUGAGACACGGACCAGACUCCUACGGGAGGGAGCAGUGGGGAAUAUUGGACAAUGGGCGAAAGCCUGAUCCAGCAAUGCCGCGUGAGUGAUGAAGGCCUUAGGGUUGUAAAGCUCUUUUACCCGGGAUGAUAAUGACAGUACCGGGAGAAUAAGCUCCGGCUAACUCCGUG